Molecule: long non-coding RNA, 2306 nt
Organism: Pan paniscus (pygmy chimpanzee)
Lineage: Eukaryota; Metazoa; Chordata; Mammalia; Primates; Hominidae
Source: Ensembl
GAAAGAUCAACCCUCUGCUCCAUACUUAUUAAUAUUUCAAAUAUGAAUGAAUUGCCGAGUAUUUACCUGACUAAAGUAAACUGUUUGCUAUGGUUCUUGGAAGAUUCUGCAGAAAGCUUUUGCAGCUCAUUUUUGUCCUACUUUUAUGUGUUCCAUCAGAGCAGGUUCAUUGUUUUAGUAAGAGGAGGAGAAAGAUUUGUUAAAUCACGAAGUGCUAAGAAGCCUUUCAGCUGAGAAAGAUACACAAUGUACAAAGCAGUUAAAACAAAUCAUACAGUAUAACCUGUUAAGGAUGUAAUUGAGAUACAUGUAAUCAUUAACCUUGGAACAGACUGGGAAUCUGUUAAUGAAUCAAAUCAGUACCCUCUCCACUGAUCCAUAAUAAUUUGAAAUAAAUGAAAAGUUUAACAGUUACUGUAUGUGAGGUUAUCGUGGGCUGCAAUUAGCUAGCCUCCAGGAGAUUAUGUUACCUAGUUACCCAAAGAUCUCACAUGAGAUGGCAAAGAGGUCAAGACAAAAAUUCUGCAUUUGGGAAAAGAAUAACACAUGGACUUCCUCCUACAGAGAGGUGGAGUCAGAUUUGAGAGGCAGAAGAAAGUUUCAGAGCAAGGUAAGUUUGGAAGGUCUAACAUCAAUGUUAUUUACACAGGGAAGAGAAGUGAAUCUAGUUUAAUGCAAUUAUGGGAGCUGAAUUAAGCCAAAGCAACAAGUAUUCCAAAGAACGAUUCAUUUUAAGACACUUCAGUGAACUUCGGGCUCCAUCAUAAAGACUCAUGCUUUACCAAUAUUCAAGGGUGUGCUGGCAUGAAUGUAAGCCACUAAGCUCUCCCUUCAAGAGAAUCUUCUGUGGGGUGACUUAUCCACCUGUAGUACCUUGAGAUCCACUGUGUCCUUCCUAUUGAGGCCAUCUUUCUCCUAACACAAUCAUGGCAGAAAGAAUGAGCAUAGUGGGAGUUCUUCAGCCAGGACAUUCUUGCCAGUGCUAGACUCUAAUAAGCAGCUUUUGCUGGGGAACUUCUUAUCACUCUGGCCAAGACUUUCUCAGAACUGCUCUCAGUCUACAAGUUCUCCUUUCUCCCCAUUCUCCUUUCACAAACUUUAUACCCGCAUUGUGCUAGAACACAAGUCUUGCCUUUUUCUGCUCCCUACUACUUAAGCUUCAGAGAUUUUCUCUUAUCAUCAAGAGCUUCUUGAGAGUCCUGAACUUACACCAGUGCUACUGGAAGUUGUGGCUGGGACUGGCUCCCUUACCACCCAGAGAGCAAUGAGGACACUCACCCUGAGUAGAAUGUGAAGCAUGGCUAAUGCUUGGCACAAACUGGUUGCCAAACUGCUAAAAAUUUCACCAUUGCUGAUAUUGGGAAAGUGUACUAAGAGAGAGAAGGCCCCUUUCUGAAGUGAUUAUUCAGGUAUUCGAGAGAUAUAGGGGAGAAAAAUUCUUAAUAGGGGAGCAGAACUCGCCAGUUAUUACCAAGCAUUAUUGAUUCCUUUCAUAAGAAUAAUGGGACAUGGUUAAACAGUUAAAGUAUUAGAACCAGAGGUACUUUUUUCGUAGCUUAAUAGAGUUACAGAACUCCGGAUGUGUUUAAAUGCUCAGCCAAGGCAACAGGACUCUUGUGAUAAAUUCUUAUUAGGAAAACCUGGGAUCUUAAAACAACAUUUAAGGACUUCUGCAUAUAUGUGUCCUCCAAGGAUUCUGACUGUGCAACUCCCUACCCGCUGAAAUCUCAGAGCUUACAGAGGUAUACCAUUCCUCCCUACUAUAAGCUAAAUUUUCUCCCAUAAGGAAAGAUCUUGCUUAGUGUAUUAGUCUGUUCUCAUGCUGCUUAUAAAGACAUUUUGGAAACUUGGUAAUUUAUAAGGAAAAAGAGAUUUACUGGACUCACAGUUUCACAUGGCUGGGGAGGCCUCACAAUCAUGGCAGAAAGUAGAGGAGGAGCAAAGGCACGGCUUACAUGGCGGCAGGCAAGUGUGUGUGCAGGGAAACUGCCCUUUAUAAAACCACCAGAUCUAAUGAGAUUUACUCACUAUCACGAGAAUAGCAUGGGAAAAAACCCAUUGCCAUGAUUCAAGUACCUUCCACUGGUCUCUCCCACGACACAUGGGGGUUAUGGGAGCUACAAUCCAAGAUGAGAUAUGGGUGGGGACACAGGCAAACCAUAACACUUAGGAUUCUUCCUCAUAUAGUAACAGUUGGCCCUCUUGGGAGCAGCCCCCAUAUAGUCUCCUCACUGCCAAUCUGAGUAGCUGGGUGAAAUCCUAGCAUAGCCUGGCUGAGGAUAUGCCAAGCCUUUUAAAAAGGUAAG